RNAcentral lists this ribosomal RNA (253 nucleotides) under uncultured bacterium. RNAcentral describes it as "partial 16S ribosomal RNA". It matches the Rfam family "Bacterial small subunit ribosomal RNA", at positions 524 to 776 of the family's 1533-position model. The record is from RNAcentral.
UACGUAGGUGGCAAGCGUUGUCCGGAUUUACUGGGCGUAAAGAGCGCGCAGGCGGUCCUUUAAGUCUGAUGUGAAAGCCCACGGCUCAACCGUGGAGGGUCAUUGGAAACUGGGGGACUUGAGUGCAGGAGAGAAGAGUGGAAUUCCACGUGUAGCGGUGAAAUGCGUAGAGAUGCGGAGGAACACCGAUGGCGAAGGCAGCCCCCUGGGCUAACACUGACGCUGAGGCACGAAAGCGUGGGGAGCAAACAGG